Molecule: ribosomal RNA, 252 nt
Filed under: uncultured bacterium
Lineage: Bacteria
Description: partial 16S ribosomal RNA
Rfam family: Bacterial small subunit ribosomal RNA
Source: RNAcentral
UACGGAGGGUGCAAGCGUUGUCCGGAAUCACUGGGCGUAAAGGGCGCGUAGGCGGCCUGGUAAGUAGGGGGUGAAAUCCUGCGGCUUACCGCAGGGCUGCCUUCUAAACUGUCAGGCUUGAGCACGGUAGAGGCAGAUGGAAUUCCCGGUGUAGCGGUGGAAUGCGUAGAGAUCGGGAAGAACAUCAGUGGCGAAGGCGGUCUGCUGGGCCGUUGCUGACGCUGAGGCGCGACAGCGUGGGGAGCAAACAGG